UGCCAGCAGCCGCGGUAAUACGGAGGGGGUUAGCGUUAUCCGAAAUGACUGGGCGUAAAGAGUCCGUAGACUGUACUGUAAGUUAUUUGUUAAAUCCUAAAGCCCAACUUUAGAACAGCAUUUAAUACUACUUUACUUGAGUUUUGUUCGGAAGAGUAGAAUUCCACGUUUAGGGAUAAUCCCCGUAGAUAUGUGGAGGAACACCAUUAGCGAAGGCGACUCUUUGGUAAAAACUGACGUUGAGGGACGAAAGUGUAGGGAGCAAACAGGAUUAGAUA
RNAcentral lists this ribosomal RNA (278 nucleotides) under uncultured bacterium. Its description in RNAcentral is "partial 16S ribosomal RNA". It matches the Rfam family "Bacterial small subunit ribosomal RNA", at positions 506 to 784 of the family's 1533-position model. The record is from RNAcentral.